UCAAGUAGAAAAGGGCGCACGGUGAAUGCCUAGGCACUAACAGCCGAUGAAGGACGUGACGAACUACGAAAAGCUUCGGGGAGCGGUAAGUACGCAGUGAUCCGGAGAUGUCCGAAUGGGGGAACCCAAUGCAGCGAUGCAUUAUUGGUUGAUGAAUAGAUAGUCAAUCAAAGGAAGACGCAGUGAACUGAAACAUCUAAGUAGCUGCAGGAAGAGAAAGAAAAAUCGAUUUCCUUAGUAGCGGCGAGCGAAGAGGAAAGAGCCCAAACCAAGUGAUUUAUCAUUUGGGGUUGUAGGACUGCAAAGUGGUAGCGUAAGCGAUAGUUGAAUUAUCUGGGAAGGUAAGCCAGAGAGGGUGAGAGCCCCGUAAGCGAAAUUGCGAGCGCGCCUAGCAGAAUCCUGAGUAGGCCGGGACACGAGGAAUCCCGGUUGAAGCCGCGAGGACCAUCUCGCAAGGCUAAAUACUAGUUAGUGACCGAUAGUGAACCAGUACCGUGAGGGAAAGGUGAAAAGAACCCCGGAAGGGGAGUGAAAGAGAACCUGAAACCGUGUGUCUACAAGUAGUCAAAGCACAUUAAAGUGCGAUGGCGUGCCUUUUGUAGAAUGAACCGGCGAGUUACGUUAUCUAGCGAGGUUAAGUCAGAAAAGACGGAGCCGGAGCGAAAGCGAGUCUGAAUAGGGCGAAGAGUUAGGUGACGUAGACCCGAAACCAAGUGACCUACCCAUGGCCAGGCUGAAGGUGUGGUAAAACGCACUGGAGGGCCGAACCCACGUAAGUUAAAAAUUGCGGGGAUGAGCUGUGGGUAGCGGUGAAAUUCCAAACGAACUUGGAGAUAGCUGGUUCUCUCCGAAAUAGCUUUAGGGCUAGCCUCGUGGAGAGGAUAAUGGAGGUAGAGCUCUGUUUGGACUAGGGGCCCGUCAGGGGUUACUGAAUCCAGAUAAACUGCGAAUUCCAUAUAUCCAUACACGGGAGUCAGACUGCGAGUGAUAAGAUCCGUAGUCGAAAGGGAAACAGCCCAGAUCACCAGUUAAGGUCCCCAAAUCUAUGCUAAGUGGAAAAGGAUGUGGAGUUGCGUAGACAACUAGGACGUUGGCUCAGAAGCAGCCAUCAUUCAAAGAGUGCGUAAUAGCUCACUAGUCGAGUGGCGCUGCGCCGAAAAUUUACCGGGGCUAAGCAUAGUACCGAAACUGUGGAUGCAUCGAAAGAUGCGUGGUAGGAGAGCGUUCUAAGUGCGGCGAAGGUUAACCGAGAGGAUAAUUGGAGCGCUUAGAAGUGAGAAUGCCGGUAUGAGUAGCGAAAGACAGGUGAGAAUCCUGUCCGCCGAAAGACUAAGGUUUCCUGGGGCAGGCUCGUCCGCCCAGGGUAAGUCGGGACCUAAGGCAAGGCCGAGAGGCGUAGUCGAUGGAUAACAGGUAGAAAUUCCUGUACUGUGUUUAAUCGUUAUGAGCGAUGGAGGGACGCAGGAGGUGAAACACGCAUCGAGCUGGAUCGAUGUUCAAGCAACAAGUGCGGUUAAGAGUCAAAUGCUUCUAACCAGCAACACGAGUUGUGAUGAGUAGCGAAGUAAUAGUAGCGAAGGUGAUGUAAUCACACUGCCAAGAAAAGCUUCUAGCCAGAGAGGACACACCCGUACCGCAAACCGACACAGGUAGUCGAGUGGAGAACACUAAGGUGAGCGAGAGAACUCUCGUUAAGGAACUCGGCAAAAUGACCCCGUAACUUCGGAAGAAGGGGUGCUGGCCACGAGAGUGGUUAGCCGCAGUGAAUAGGCCCAAACAACUGUUUAUCAAAAACACAGGUCUCUGCAAAAUCGUAAGAUGACGUAUAGAGGCUGACACCUGCCCGGUGCUGGAAGGUUAAGAGGAGAGCUUAGCGAAAGCGAAGGUUCGAAUUGAAGCCCCAGUAAACGGCGGCCGUAACUAUAACGGUCCUAAGGUAGCGAAAUUCCUUGUCGGGUAAGUUCCGACCUGCACGAAAGGUGUAAUGAUUUGGGCACUGUCUCAACGAGAGACUCGGUGAAAUUAUAAUACCCGUGAAGAUGCGGGUUACCCGCGACAGGACGGAAAGACCCCAUGGAGCUUCACUGUAGCUUGAUAUUGAGUAUCUUUUAAACAUGUACAGGAUAGGUAGGAGCCAAGGAAGGCAGGACGCUAGUUUUGCUGGAGGCAAUGUUGGGAUACUACCCUUGUUUGAAGGAUGCUCUAACCUCGACCUGUAAGCCAGGUCAGGGACAGUGUCAGGUGGGCAGUUUGACUGGGGCGGUCGCCUCCUAAAGUGUAACGGAGGCGCUCAAAGGUUCCCUCAGAAUGGUUGGAAAUCAUUCGCAGAGUGUAAAGGUAUAAGGGAGCUUGACUGCGAGAGAAACAGCUCGAGCAGGGACGAAAGUCGGACUUAGUGAUCUGGUGGUACCGUAUGGAAGGGCCAUCACUCAACGGAUAAAAGCUACCCUGGGGAUAACAGGCUUAUCUCCCCCAAGAGUUCACAUCGACGGGGAGGUUUGGCACCUCGAUGUCGGCUCGUCGCAUCCUGGGGCUGAAGUCGGUCCCAAGGGUUGGGCUGUUCGCCCAUUAAAGCGGCACGCGAGCUGGGUUCAGAACGUCGUGAGACAGUUCGGUCCCUAUCCGUCGUGGGCGUAGGAAAUUUGAGAGGAGCUGUCCUUAGUACGAGAGGACCGGGAUGGACGCACCGCUGGUGUACCAGUUGUUCCGCCAGGAGCAUCGCUGGGUAGCUAUGUGCGGAAGGGAUAAGCGCUGAAAGCAUCUAAGUGCGAAGCCCCCC
This 2779-nucleotide ribosomal RNA is filed under the name Lactobacillus acidophilus DSM 20079 = JCM 1132 = NBRC 13951 = CIP 76.13. RNAcentral's name for it is "23s ribosomal RNA". It matches the Rfam family "Bacterial large subunit ribosomal RNA". Lineage: Bacteria; Bacillati; Bacillota; Bacilli; Lactobacillales; Lactobacillaceae. The record is from RNAcentral.